Molecule: ribosomal RNA, 253 nt
Filed under: uncultured bacterium
Lineage: Bacteria
Description: partial 16S ribosomal RNA
Rfam family: Bacterial small subunit ribosomal RNA
Source: RNAcentral
GACAGAGGCCUCAAGCGUUAGGCGGAAUCACUGGGCUUAAAGCGUGUGUAGGCGGAUCGUUAAGUGUCUUGUGAAAUCCCACGGCUCAACCCCGGAACUGCAUUGGAUACUGCCUUGCUAGAGUACUGGAGAGGGAACUGGAAUUUACGGUGUAGCAGUGAAAUGCGUAGAGAUCGUAAGGAAGGCCAGUGGCGAAGGCGAGUUCCUGGACAGUUACUGACGCUGAGGAGCGAAAGCGUGGGUAGCAAACAGG